GGGGGCUAGCGUUAUCCGGAUUUACUGGGCGUAAAGGGUGCGUAGGCGGUCUUUCAAGUCAGGAGUGAAAGGCUACGGCUGAACCGUUGUAAGCUCUUGAAGCUGGGAGCCUGGAGUGCAGGGGAGGAGGGUGGCAUUCCUAGUGGGUGGGUUAACUGGGUAGGUAAUAGGAGGAACACCAGUUGCGAGGGCGGCUCGCUGGACUGUAACGGACGGUGAGGAACGAAAGCGUGGGGAGCAAACAGGAUUAGAUGCCCUGGGAGUCCAGGCAGUAAACGAUGAGUACUAGGUGUCGGGGGUUACCCCC
This 307-nucleotide ribosomal RNA is filed under the name Clostridioides difficile. RNAcentral describes it as "bacterial SSU rRNA". It matches the Rfam family "Bacterial small subunit ribosomal RNA", at positions 530 to 841 of the family's 1533-position model. Lineage: Bacteria; Bacillati; Bacillota; Clostridia; Peptostreptococcales; Peptostreptococcaceae. The record is from RNAcentral.